AAUUAGUGGGGUAUUUAAUCUCGCCCUACCCACUUGGUUUUGUCUGUCUUGUUGUUCACCUGUGUCUAGUUUAGGUUAAUUAGUGGGGUAUUUAAUCUCGCCCUACCCACUUGGUUUUGUCUGUCUUGUUGUUCACCUGUGUCUAGUUUAGGUUAAUUAGUGGGGUAUUUAAUCUCGCCCUACCCACUUGGUUUUGUCUGUCUUGUUGUUCACCUGUGUCUAGUUUAGGUUAAUUAGUGGGGUAUUUAAUCUCGCCCUACCCACUUGGUUUUGUCUGUCUUGUUGUUCACCUGUGUCUAGUUUAGGUUAAUUAGUGGGGUAUUUAAUCUCGCCCUACCCACUUGGUUUUGUCUGUCUUGUUGUUCACCUGUGUCUAGUUUAGGUUAAUUAGUGGGGUAUUUAAUCUCGCCCUACCCACUUGGUUUUGUCUGUCUUGUUGUUCACCUGUGUCUAGUUUAGGUUAAUUAGUGGGGUAUUUAAUCUCGCCCUACCCACUUGGUUUUGUCUGUCUUGUUGUUCACCUGUGUCUAGUUUAGGUUAAUUAGUGGGGUAUUUAAUCUCGCCCUACC
Long non-coding RNA from Oncorhynchus keta (chum salmon), 569 nucleotides. RefSeq lists it as uncharacterized. The record is from RefSeq and is a predicted model, not a curated record. Lineage: Eukaryota; Metazoa; Chordata; Actinopteri; Salmoniformes; Salmonidae. The transcript has 7 exons.